UAGAAGACAGAACAGAGGAGGAAAUAACUCUGGAAAGAUUGUUCCAGUGUAUAAUAUCAAACUAUAUUUCUGGAUGUAGUUAGUUUUGGGUGUCUGUUUGAGAAGCGAAGCUGCGAGGCCACAGCUGGUUGUGUUUAGACUGUUUGUCAAGGGCGGCGCUGCGGUCGACGAAGGCCGAGCGACAGACAGGAGACGCACAGAGCGGCAGAUAUUUUACACCCAAGCAGCAUUCAACAGUCAUAUUUGUAUCAAUCUUGUUCACUUCCUUUCAACUGGGCAUGAAGACAGAAGAGGAGAUAGCUUCAUCCUGACUCCUGUGUUUUCUGUGAGGCGUCUCUUCACGGUUACAUAAACAGCAUCUGAGCUGGCCAGCCACAUCCUCCCCAUUGGAUUCCAUUAGAUCUGCUCAUAAUGGCUGCGGUGCGGCUGUUCUGCUCCGGGGUGGAGGUCCCGCUCCCUUCCUCUCCUGCUGUUUGUCUUUUCUCUGAGCUGGUGAGGCUGGACUGAAGGGUCUGCUGAGCCGGCUCUCCUUCAAGUGGCUGCAGAGGAAUGAGAGUCGCCACCGCAGCAGAAGGACCUGCAGAAAUAAGUGUUAGAAAACAACACCAGCCAUGCUCAACCAUCUCUGAGUUUGCACUCAUGUGAUUUCACAUGCAUUUUUUUAUUUUAUUUUUUUUCCUUGUACCAACUACACUGAAAAAACGCAACAUAUGUGUCUUCGUACACUUGAACUAAGACAAAACUAACU
Long non-coding RNA from Xiphophorus couchianus (Monterrey platyfish), 748 nucleotides. RefSeq lists it as uncharacterized. The transcript has 2 exons. The record is from RefSeq and is a predicted model, not a curated record. NCBI's taxonomy places the organism in Eukaryota, Metazoa, Chordata, Actinopteri, Cyprinodontiformes, Poeciliidae.